Molecule: ribosomal RNA, 253 nt
Filed under: uncultured bacterium
Lineage: Bacteria
Description: partial 16S ribosomal RNA
Rfam family: Bacterial small subunit ribosomal RNA
Source: RNAcentral
UACGGAGGGGGCGAGCGUUAUUCGGAAUUAUUGGGCAUAAAGGGCGCGUAGGCGGCUUGAUGUGUCAAAGGUGAAAUCCCUCGGCUCAACUGAGGAACUGCCUUUGAAACUGUCUGGCUUGAGGCCGGGAGAGGGUAGCGGAAUUCCCAGUGUAGCGGUGAAAUGCGUGGAUACUGGGAGGAACACCGGUGGCGAAGGCGGGUUGCUGGGCUGACACUGACGCUGAUGCGCGAAAGCUAGGGGAGCGAACGGG